AUUAGAACGCAGCUAGCUGCGAUAUGUUAUGCGACUUGCGAAGACAUUGAGCAUAAAGAUUUCGAACGCACAUUGCGCCAUUGGGUUUCUUCCCUUUGGCACGCCUGGUUGAGGGUCGACUUUGUUGAAAUAUGUGAUGGUGACACGACGCGAAGCAGCGACGGCUCUCAUCUCGAGGCGAUGAGGCCUUCGUUUGUAGAGUGUUGUGUCGUCAUUCAUCGAGCGGCAAGUGAUGUUGACGUCUUAAAUGACUGCAUCGCUUGCUUAGUGGACGAGUCGUACGCGAGAGGAGAUGUCUAGCAUCAUCUCUUAUCGAGGUGCGUACGCGUGUGGCGCAUCGUCGGGAAAUGGUAGCGAUGGUGACGAUGAUGUUGAUGCUCGAAUUUUGUGGCAAACGUUGAGGAACGUACGGGGAAUAUCAUGCUACAAAUCGAGUUGAUCACGCGGUGAUGUCGUCGUUAUUGUUGCUUAUCAUUGAGCACGUUUAUCGCCUUGACGAGGACGGCGAUCAACGACUCUCUCGAUCGAACACACCCGAUCAUGUGUCGACGAACAGCUUCGCCGAUACAGUGACGGUAAGCGCCUCAUUAUCGUAGACCUCAACUCAGACGUGAUUACCCCCUGAAUUUAA
This 631-nucleotide ribosomal RNA is filed under the name Gnathostoma spinigerum. Its description in RNAcentral is "eukaryotic LSU rRNA". The stretch from base 4 to 118 matches the Rfam family "5.8S ribosomal RNA", at positions 40 to 154 of the family's 154-position model. Lineage: Eukaryota; Metazoa; Nematoda; Chromadorea; Rhabditida; Gnathostomatidae. The record is from RNAcentral.